GUUUUCUUCGGAUAGCAAUAGCGCGGCAGCGUUCAGGACGUGGACUCGAUUUCCCGGCAGAUCCCGUGCGGUGCGGCCGCGUUGGGUAGCGGGGUGGGGAAGGAGGUGGCCGCGGCCGCCAUGUUGGUGGCGUGGGACGCUUAGCUCGGGAGGAGCGGUCGGGGAGCCGGGUUAAGAUGUCGGAAAAGGGGGAAGGGCGGUAGUUCUGUCUUGGUUUAAGGGACAAGAAAGAGCUUGUGCGAGCGGUUGAGGAAGAAGGGGGAGGCUGAGGAGGAGUAGCCGGAGGGCCGCGGCGGGUAGGGAGGGGGGCUCUGAAGGACACGGCCGAUUGUCACUCGGUGAUUGCUGGUUCUGGGUGGGGCAGCGCUUCUCUGUGGUGGGAGCGGGGCCGUGGGGUGCGAGUCUGUCCCGGGACUUGGAGGGGCCCGUCCGGCUGCGGUGGGAGUGUGGCAGGAGCGGGCGGCGUGGCCUUGCAGCGACGGCCGGUCAUGGCUGCCGGGGCGUGUGGGCGCUGGGGCGGUGCUGGGUGCGAACGGGGAGGCCGCUCUGUGGCGCAGGAGCUGGGGCGGGUCCGGUGGCUCUCGGGGCUGUGGCCCCCCGCUCUCCUCCUCCGGGGAGAGGGGCCCGGCGGGGCUGUACCAGCUCCGGUGUCUGGGCCUUGGACGAAGUACGGACUGCGGGUUAAAGAGCAGGGCUGGCCUUGGUGGGGUGGCCGUCAGCAGGGAGCAGACUGGGACAUGCCCUUGUCGUACGCCAGGUGACAGCCUGCGCUUCGCUGGUUUAAGUGGUUUUUUUAAGGGCUGUGGGUGGCUCUGUCUGAGGUCUGAUAAUUGCACUAAUGGUGUCUGGGUGUCAGAGACAUGCUUCUUGGUGUGACCAGCAGGAGGAGCUUUGCUUCCUUCUAAAGGCCUUAGUAUGUCUGGAAGAGGGUAGGUUUCGAUUAGAUACAAGGCAGAAAUUCUUUACUGUGAGGAUUGCCCAGAGAAGCUGUGGACACCCUAUCCCUGGAAGUGUUCAAGGCCGGGCUGAAUGGGGCACGGGGCAACUUGGUUUACUGGAAGGUGUCCCUGCCCAUGGCAGGGGAGGGUUAGAACCAGAUGAUCUUUGAGGUUACUUCUAGCCCAAAUGUAUAAUUCUAUGUCCAUAGACACAUAAAACAAGUUUGAAAAAGUUGAGAAGGCAGACGAGAUGGUAUAAGACAUCUCAGCGUGGUAUGGGAGCAGCCAAGCCAACUUGCUGCCCCCGUAUUUUACUUGUGCUUGCUGUCUCAGGUUGGCAUGGCUUAGCCACCUGACUAGGUGCUGUCUUAGUUUCAGCCCUCUGGCUGGCAUGGAGGAAGUAGGAUGCAAUUUUGAGCAAUGGUUUUAGGCUUUCUUGUACUGAAUGUUAUCCCUGCUUGUUCUAGUGUUUUGUGUUGGGGGAUGGGAAAUACAUGUUCACCAGAUGAGAGUAAUCUAAGCUCUGUGAGGCUUAAGGUGACUGGAGUUCCCUGAAACCAUGUGUGGAAGGCCUGUGCUCAAAACCCGAAGGGAAGAUGGUCAAAGUAUUGCGUAGCUUGUGAAAUAAUACCGUUUCUAGUUACAGCUGAUUCUUGUGAAAUAAAGCACUUUAUUAUGCCAGGAAGACACUUAAUUGAAAAGAGUCGUGAAGAGUUUUGCAGGCUUGCUUGAAGUCUUGGCUGCUACCACUGGUGUUACUGCUCAGGUAAAACGGAGAUACAAGGGUUUAUUUGAUACUUUGGCUCCUCCUGGAGGUAAGUACAAGGCAUUUGCUCAGGGUAUUGCUGCAGAAUAACUAUUGCUACACAAUAACUGAGAUGGCGUGUUUGCCCCAGGAUACAAAAGUGUUGGAGAAAGGAUGAUGUGAGAUAUUCUCUGGUGCAGUUACUUCCCCUGAACAUUGCAGCCUUUCAAGACUUGCUGGUACUACAGCAAUGUGUGCUGUUCUUUAUCACUUUAGAUGCAGCUCCCUUUAGUUAAAGGAGCUGAACUGGUUGCAUGCAGUCCUGCAAAUAGUCCAGUGUCCUGAGGGUGCUUCUCCUCACAGCCAGGUUCUCCUGUUUUAUCAUAUUCCUCUCUGAAGAAAAUGAAUGGUGAGGGUGUAAGGCUCUGUUAAUAAAAUUCAUAGCAUCAAUAGUUCCAUAUAUAUGGAGAAUUCUGAAUUAUAAGUACAGCCCCUCUUAUUUCUUUUCUAAUUCUGUUUCUUUUCUACGCAGAUACCUUUAGAUUAGGUGAACUGGGGGUGAAAUAAAGGGCACUGGAAUGAUGACUUGUCACAACAGUUGUUCACUGUAGACUUUAGGCCUAUGCUUUUUAUCUCUGCAGCUGAUACCUGGUAAGGCUGAUAAGUGUUGCAGUGGAAUAGUUGGGUCAAGCUUGGUUAUCUUUUCUAUAACUGCCAGAAAAAGUGCAUGUGAAAUCUUCAUCCAAGAUGGUCUGCUGGCCUAAUGGCAGUAUGUUCCCUUAAACUGGUUUAGAAACAAUUGGUUUUACCUGCAGUGUUCCCUUCACUCCCUCCCCAUUCCCCUGCAGUCAGUGCUGCCGCUCUGGGGGGGAUGCUGUGCGUCCCGCUUUACAGAUAAUUGUAUUUCAUUAUUUAUAUCUUCUUUAUCUGUAGAUGUAGAUGCCACUGAUGUCUCAGCUGAGGUAGGAAAAAGGAAACAAUUUCAGAAACUACUCAAAUGAACACCUGAUGCAAGAGAGAAGUAAAAGAGUUUUCUUUGUGUGUGUUGUUCACUUUGGUCAGUUUUGGGGGAUUUUAUACUUGCCAGUGUGUGGAUCGGCAGGUUGAUCACAACGUGUCAGAGAUGUUAAUGAUGAAAUCUGUGUUAAGUGUCUCAGACUUGGAUAAUCUGUUCACCUGAAAGUGCUACUGUCCAGAUCUAUCCUGACCCAACAGGCGUUAGUUGCAAUGUCUGUAAGAAGCUUCCAGUCCUAUUGAAGAAAUAAGUGGCGUGUCUGCAGUUCAUAUGAAGAGGUACAAGCUGACAGUAGCAUUGAAAACCCGCUUUGGCAUUUCUUAAAGAUUGGUGUGCUCUGCUUUAAUGCUGUUAAUGAAAACUUAGUCCAGUGUGUGUCUGGUCCUCAGCCUGUGAUGCUGAUGGGUUUGUGUGUACUUUACUAUGCUGACAUCCUACACUGCAAAACCUAUGGCUUCUCGUUGCUACUGAAGUGAUUCUGGUCACUGAACUCUGGUAAGCAACCACCCUUUUUGCUGACCUGAAGAAUCAGUUGAAAGAUCCCAAAGGAGGGAUGAGGAAGAUAAGUAGGAAUGUGUGAUGACUUUGCCUAAAGAAGAAAAUGCUCAGUCUAAGAAAUCUAAGUUCAUACAUAGAAACCUGUCUUUGUGUCUCAGCGCUCGUCCUGACAAGUUUCCUCUUAAAGAAACUUCAAGCAUUUGGAUGCUCUAAAUUGAGUACUUACUGGGUAGUAUAGAAAGCCAGGCUGCAUGAGAAACACAGAUUUUGAGAUGAAGUGUACAGAUAUAUCAUGUCAUUAGUUUUAAGAUGUGUGGUGAUAUAGGUCUGCUGUCACUGUCAAUGUCUGUGUCAGUGCAGCACAGAGAGCUGUUGGGGUUGUUUCAGUUCUUGGAAAUUUCCUACCAGGCCUAAUGUCAGCCCUGGUAGGAAAAUUAACUGGAUGAAAAGAUUUGCAUGUGCUUUCAAACAGAAAGUAGAAUAUGGUUUCUAAGGGUGAUACCAUCUAUGCUAGUCUUGGCACAUAAAUUCUGUUUUAAUAUCGUGUUUUCUUAAUUACCCCAGCUCUAAAACUUAGUUGUCUGCAGUCCCCUUGGAGGAAGGAGUGGAAGUGUCACUGACCAACUGCUUAUUUCAAAGCCUAUGGGGGAAGGGGUGUAAAUUCUUUCACAUUAAAGUUACUGCUCAGAUGAUAGUGGAUGAAGAAGCUGUGAUGAAGGUUGGUUGAUUUUAGUUGUUUCCCAUUGAGCUGUUUGCCAAAAAGUUUCCGGAGCUGCAAGAGGAAAGGUGAGAGGAUGAGUUCAGCUGGGUGGAACAGCAAAAAGAAGAGUGCUGUAAGAGCAGUCAAGAGUCAACUUAGCACGGACAUGUUCUUCAACUGAGAGAUGGCAGCAGUUCAAUAGCAGUUACACAAAGGGAAAGGGUGUGCAGGCUGCUGCAAGUCCCUGUGUUCCUAAUAUCUGGUAUCUGAAAGAACUCAGUAGAGAGAAAAAGGUUGUUGCUUCCACAACUUCAAACCCUUUUGAGUUGAAAAGAGAGCUCAUCUAAUACUGAAACAGGAAACUGAUUUUAUUUUAGAUACUGGGGAAGAUAAUCACUAUGCAGAACUUAAAAGUGCUAGUCAGGACACUGAAAAACUGCAAGUAGCUCAAGUACAGGAGACUCAGAGACUCCAGUUGUGGGAAGCUGCCUUUUGGGAAGGUGCACUAGCAGUGGGGAGAACUUUCUAAACACAAGGAGAAUCAAAAGUUCUGCAGCUGUUAGCUACACAUGGAUGUAUCUCUUAAGGUGGGAUGCCCUGACAUGACCACUGAAGACCAUAAGGCUGUAGGCAGACCACAUUUCUUUUAAAAGGAUGUAUGCCACUGCCCAGCUCAGAACCACCCAAACAGCUUCAGUUUUUGUCAAAUACUCUUAGUUCCUGGAACAACAGCUUUUCUCAGUCCACCUAACUGCUGCAGAGCCAGCUGGCUGACUGCAGCUCUGCACUGAAGAUAAGCAUUCCCACCCCUGGAUUGCUGGAUAAUGGCACACAAACAUGGCUCAGGUGGGCUCCAGGGCUGAGCAUAAAUCUUCUGGCUGCCACUGUUCUGGCUUUAAUAUACACGAUGGGUGCCCCAAGCACUUCCAUGUAGAACAAGAAACACUUGGAGUGCAUAUUUACAUGUACUUUUGAGUGUGCACUGCCCUCUUCAGCACAAAGCUCGAUCAAACCCUGUAUUGCAUAAAGCAGUGGAGGUAUCACACUGAGGUUAUGCUUGGUGUGUACCUGACUCAGUUGCCACUAAUCCUGGGAAGGGCUAUUUUUGUUGUGAUGUGGUAAACCUGAGUUGGUAAUAGAUACUGCUCAGCUGAUGUGCUUAUCUGUGCCAGGAGAGCAGCCCAUGAGCUGACAUAUUCAAGCAUGGUACUAGCUUUUACUUCUUUCAACAUAAAAAAAAUUUAAAAGGUGGGAGGGGGAAGAGCAGAGGAUUUUUAAGAGUCACAUAAAUUCUACUGAAAUUAAAAGCUCACUAAGUACCUUUGUUGAAGGAAUACGUUUUGGGAAAUUACCUCCUUUGACAAAGGCAAUAUGAGCCUGUGGUUAUGGCAAGCUUCCAACACCAUUCCUUGACCCUUUUUUUUUUGUGAGGUUGUAGGGGAAAAGUGUUGGAUGUAGCGAGAGUGAAAGCCAUAACCAGAGGUUACAAUUUAAUUUUAACAACUAUAUUUUUAUGUGAAGUGAUGCACCAUUAUUAAUUUUCAAAGGCAGUCCUGCACCUAAACUGAUACACUGGAAUCCCUGGUCAUGUGUGCAGGUGUCUUUGGGUUCUUCAGCUGUUUGAGUGUAGUGGUGCAAAAUUGCACGUUGUUUCCUAUAUGAUUCAGCUUAAAACACAAGCUUGGGCAGUGUGAGUACCUAAACAACAGUAUUGCAGUCAGAGCAUUCCUCAGUGCACACAAACCAUUUCCUUCUGGGAAGUACUGCUGCACUGUGAAAAAGCAUGCAACUCCUAGGACCGCAGCAUUUGAUCAUGUUGCCUGUGCCACAGUUCCCUUGGUUUGCUCUCUUCCUUGCCUUGGACUCUUCAACGAAGCUUUUAGUUUUUCUGUACAUUACCACUGGUUGACUCUCUCAUUUUUUGAGUGGGGCUUUUUUUGCUGUUUCUUUGCAAAUGCCUCUUCCUGGAAAACUGGCAGCAACAGUAAGUAUCUCAGGUUCCUAGCCAAGUUUCCAGUCACAUGAUUUCACUUGCUCCAUUCUGUCAAGUUAUUUACUUGCAGUGUCCUAAGGAUGUAGUUUAGUGGACUGCUAGUGAGGAGCUAACCUUCAUGUCUUGGCUGCAGUCCCAUAGGUCAGGUUUACACAAAUCUGCUUCCUCAUGAAUUCAGUGGCUACUCUUGCAGCACUUGGUUUCCUGAUGCACAACUUUAUGAAAAAGAUAAUGUUACACUGCUCUUGCAGAGAUUUAAAGAUGGUCACGUUAGCGUUGGUCACUUUACCUGCUGAGUUGCAUGACCCAGAAUCAUUUCUGAACCUUGUUCUGCAUGCACAACACCUAGGGCUCACGAGGUGAGAAGGCUAUGUUCUUCAUGUCUUAAUAGGGCUGACAUGCCACAAUACAGGAAAGGUUUUUCAAAACCAGCAUAGAGAUGGUUGCUGAUGACUUAAGCAACCUUGCUCAAGGUAUCUUACCCUCGUGUUCUGGUGUCAUGCAUAUCAGUUACUUUGUUUCUAGUAGGGUCUCUUUGGGCAUGCAUUCCUAGGUGGUGUAUUGAGCUUCCUGCUUUGAGCUUUCAAAAAACGCAGUUGCACGAAGCAGCGGCAGCAGUGGCAUUGCCAGUUUAAGGAGUUUGGUGUUACCUUCUGCCCUUGCCUUCCCAUGCUGUAGUACACCAUUCCCUUUCACGCCAGUGCAACUACCUGGAGCGGCAUGCAGAGCUAUCGGUGUCUUAAUCAGGGUGUUAACACACACUCCCUGCCCUGGGUAUGCUUUUCUGUGGGUCAUGGUAGAAGCGGAGGAGGUUUGUAGUUCUGUGGCUUUAUGAAACCUGAGUUGGGUUUGUGACCUGGUUGAGAGCAUUUGCACCAUAGCACAAAAAACAGGUACCUGGGUGCAUGCCAGAAGUCAGAAGUCCGAAGUCCUUGGGCUUGUUGCUGAAGUGUCUGGCUCAUUAAAUCAUGCAUCUAAGGAUGUAGUUAAUUUUGUGGAAGAGGACCAGCAGUGUCCCUUGUGUACGUGGGUGCUUUUGUUAACUAUGUUUUUCUGUUUUAGGUCUCAUGACAGAGCCUUUUUGUGGUUUUGCUGUGUGUAGCCUUGUGACCAGGCAGCAGUAGCUCAAGAGUUGCUGCUGUCUGUAAGCAGCAUGAGAGAUUGUUCGGUGUAGUCCAGACAAAUCCUUGUGCAAACAGCGCUGGAGUAAGAUGUGGAACAGUUUUCUUUUAAGUUUGGGGUUGUUUUUUGUUUUGUUACCGAGACUACCAAUAUAUUUUCCUUUGAUGGAACUAAUUCUUACAUAUAGGGAGUUGCAUGUUACCCCUACACAUAUAGCCAAAUGUAAUUUUAUAAAUAAUGGCAAAGUAGAUCGGCAAAAGAGAGAACGAGGUACUAAAAUGUUUCACAUAUGAUAGGUGAAAAGCUAAUCUCAGUUUUCCCUAUCAACAUCUUUGCAGUGCUCCUGCUACCAGUGAAGGCUGCACUGCUGUGAACUCUUCUGUUCUGAUGAUGGUGAGUGUUACCCUCUGACGAGGACAAUGAGGUGGCAGCUGUUUAAGAGAGAUGUGGUGGCUUCACCGUACAUGUGCUGCCUCAGUGGAUGCCAGCUAAGAGAGUAAUUGCGUCCCCCAAGAAUUAGAUUGUUGCUGCUGUUAACUUUUCUGGAGAAACAAACAUGAAGUAGAGGCAGGUGCAAUCCUCACAUGAGUUGGCAGCCAGGUGGGUGCGGUGCAUCACCAGGGAUGAAGGGCAGUCACACUUCACUAAGUCAUAGCAUUGAGGUCCAUUUGGCCGCUUGAAAAUUCCUGCCCACAGAAAGCUCCUCUCAUCUCCAGGGCAGAUUGUGACUGGAGCAACUGCUGUCCCAGUGCUACCUCCUGGAAACACAGGGGUGAUGAAAUGGAGUUUAUUUUACUAGGUCAAAUGAGAAUAAAUGAAUAUUCUUCAUUAUAAAUAUUUAUACAAUAGUAAUUAAUACAUAUUUUUUUAGUGUAAAUUGUUUACAUAUCUGGAAAUCUAGGCAUAUAUGUAUAUAAAAUGUAUAUUUUAAAUACAUUUGUAUACAUUGUUUUAUGUAUUAUUAAUUAAUAAUUUAGCAGUUUUUAAAAUAUAGAUUAGUAAAUUGGGAGAAUCAUGGAAGAGGAGAGGAGCUUUGUGUUGUUGGCAGAUUCAUGGGAUGGAGAAGCUAUUCCCUCUUGAUAACAAAUCAAACGCAAAUGUCUGGUCCCCAACAGAUACAGUUGGCGUGAACUAUUUUGUUAAAGUGUCUGCUCACAUCUGUCUUUUAAACUCUCAUCCUUGAGAGGGUGGAUUAACCUUGUCAUGAGUACUGAGGCAUGUGACAGGCUUGGCCAUGAAAGCAAGGAUGUGAGGGGUCUCUCACAAGUUUCUGUCAACACCUGAGUGAUGUGGCUCUCCGGGAUGGGUGGCAUUGCCACUGUUCAUUCUGAGUGGCAUUGCAGCCUCAUUCGCAUGGGUUUGAUGGUACCUCAGAUAUCCCAGCCUUUUGCUAUAGUCAGUUUUCUGCUACCUGAAGGUAAGUUUAGGUACAAAUCACAUCAGCCAAGAUCCUAGGUUUGGAAUAUGCCUGCCUCAGUCAUUCUCUCUGGUAUGAGUGGCCCUGCCUUUUGGGUACUGUCAAUUUAUCAUCUUAUUUCUCCCAAAGGAAACAUGCACCCUGAAUGCUCCCUGUGCUCUGGCAGUGCUUUAUGUGUGCAACCUCCAGGUAAUGUUCACCUCUGUGGAUGUAAGGGGAUAGCUAUCCCAGUCUUUCCUGAAUUUACUGCUCAGCAGUCAGUGACAUAGCAAGAAAAGCAAGGCAUUAUUUUGCUCACAUCCACCAUCCACAGAUGGCAUUUGGUUUUCAUCACCAUUUUGUUUCUAGCUAAUACGUAGGUGUGUGCCAACACACAGGUUUUCCCAACUCCCUUUUUUUUUUUUCUUUUCUACUUUUUCCUUGUCACCUAUACAUAGUACAUUGCACUCAGUGUUUAGUGUGUGAGAAACCCUAGGAUAAUUCCCUAUAGUAAUAAUUUGUUAGCUGUGGGGAGAUGGGGAUUUUGGUGGCUGCAGAAUUCUGCCUAUAGCAUCCCAUCAUUAUAAAGAAAAAAGUACGCUUGGAGGAAAGAGCCCUCCUUCUUGAAUCUGGGUGGGGAAAGAAAUGUAAUAACACUUCAAAAGUAGGCCAAAAGUGCUCUUCAUGUGCUGAGUUUCAUAUUUUUAACCUUUUCAUUUUAAAAUUUUAAAGUAGUACCUUCUAUUUCGUAAACUGAUUACACCUGAAUAAAAACAGAUCUCUGUAGCCAAUUGCCUCAAAUACCUCCAGUACAGAAGUGGUGUUUUGCAGAUGCCCAGGGAAGAUGCAGACCCACUGUAUUGCUGGGAACCAACCUGUCACAGCUGAAAUACAAUAGUGCAAAAAGCCAUCAGCAGGCUGAGCAAACCCAGCCCUUUGUACUCGUUAUGUCUACGGUGUUCUGUCUGAAAGCUAUUAUCCCUUGGAAAGCUUGCUGACACAUUUUAACAAGGAGAAUCAAAGACUUAGCAGUACUUCUGUAGGGUUCCUCUAAUUCUAUGAUUCAUAAUCAUAGUCAACUACUGCUCCUUCUUUAAUAAGGAUUAUAUUGGAAGCCAUCCAUAGAUAAAUGCAACUUCUUGAUACAGUUUUAACUAUUCACCCAUUUUCAUAUGGCCUGAUUUUGACAUCAGCAGAUGUGUUCACACUUCUGAGUCCAAGAUACGUGGCUUUGUGUUAUUUCUUUAGAAAACAGUAAAGGACAUAAAAGAAGUGCUAAUUUUCAAAACAGAAACAUUAGAUUUGUAUUUUAUUUUAAAUAAAAUGAAUGCAUGCAGGUGGUUGUGCAAGUCAGUACAGGGCUUGUUUGGGCAGGGUUUGUGGUUUCCUAGCCCACCUGUUUUGCUUGCAGACUAGCAAAGAGAGCACGGUUUGUGUUAGCAGUCAUAAAUCCUGCUCAUGUCUUCUUCCAUGGCAGACUCCUAGGGACAUGGCUGUAAGGUGAAACCCGGUCUGGAUGUAGCUGUAAAGGGAGGGAGGGAACGGCAGAGCUCCCCGCUGCAGAACCCGAGGCACCCUGUAACGCGAACGGGCACAGAGAGGCCUCCCUCGGUCCCUCCCCCUCCCAGCUCCCCUCAGCUCCCCUGAGACACUGCUCAGGUCUUCAGGGUACCCGAACACUACGGGGUGCUGCAAAAUGCUCGUCGGGGGCGUUGAUCUCUGCUGGCUCUGAAACUGGAGAGGCUGCUGUUCGUGCUGGCCCACUGUAGCGGUGGGUGUCCACCAGCAGAGGGUGGCUCUAAGACCGUUUAUGUAUUGCUUUAAUGUUUAAACACCGUACAGUGUGAAUAUUGAGCGUGACGGCUGUAGUGCUUCCUUUAUUUCCUAAUACUUCAUCUUUAGUUAGUAAUUACAAGAAAAAAGUGUCUAGCAAAGAUUUUAGUUUCAGCUUUUCCUCACUGUUUUGUUUUUGGUUUUUUUUUUUCCUCUGGCAUUAUUCUUCCAGGUGAGACUAACCAAAUAUAGUCAAAUUUAGAAAGAUGGGUUUGAAAUAAUGUUGGUCUUGAUUGGGAACUACUUCUGCCUAGGAACAAAGUAUUUGAAAUAAAUAACUGCAUAAGUUGUCAA
Molecule: long non-coding RNA, 10534 nt
Organism: Corvus hawaiiensis (hawaiian crow)
Lineage: Eukaryota; Metazoa; Chordata; Aves; Passeriformes; Corvidae
Exons: 2
Source: RefSeq, a predicted model, not a curated record